Molecule: ribosomal RNA, 1610 nt
Filed under: Brucella canis
Lineage: Bacteria; Pseudomonadati; Pseudomonadota; Alphaproteobacteria; Hyphomicrobiales; Brucellaceae
Also listed under: 4 other names
Description: bacterial LSU rRNA
Rfam family: Bacterial large subunit ribosomal RNA
Source: RNAcentral
CGAUAAGCGUCGGGGAGGUGCGAAUACCCUUUGAUCCGACGAUUUCCGAAUGGGGCAACCCACCUUAGAUGACUAGAAAAUCUGUUUUGUUGGAGCAACGCUGGAUGGGUUUACACCCAUACAGACCGCUAGGUCGUCGGCCCAUGUGGGCCGCCCCCGCGGAGCGCCAGCAUUCCUCUGGAAUGCGUACGGCGCGUGAGCGAGAACAGCACAGCUUUCUAGUCAUCAUAAAUAAGGUAUCUAACCUUGAAUACAUAGGGGUUAGAAGCGAACCUGGGGAACUGAAACAUCUAAGUACCCAGAGGAAAGGACAUCAAACGAGACUCCGCUAGUAGUGGCGAGCGAACGCGGACCAGGCCAGUGGCUUUUGUGAAUAAAGUGGAACGAGUUGGAAAACUCGACCGAAGUGGGUGAUAGUCCCGUACACGUAGAAUAGCAGAAGUCCUUGAGUAGGGCGGGACACGUGAAAUCCUGUCUGAACAUGGGUCGACCACGAUCCAAGCCUAAGUACUCGUGCAUGACCGAUAGCGAACCAGUACCGUGAGGGAAAGGUGAAAAGCACCCCGACGAGGGGAGUGAAACAGUACCUGAAACCGGAUGCCUACAAACAGUUGGAGCCCAAGGUUUGUCCUGGGUGACAGCGUACCUUUUGUAUAAUGGGUCAGCGACUUAGUGUAUCGAGCAAGCUUAAGCCGGUAGGUGUAGGCGCAGCGAAAGCGAGUCUGAACAGGGCGUUCAGUUCGAUGCAUUAGACCCGAAACCAAGUGAUCUAGCCAUGAGCAGGUUGAAGGUACGGUAACACGUACUGGAGGACCGAACCCAUAUCUGUUGCAAUAGAUCGGGAUGACUUGUGGCUAGGGGUGAAAGGCCAAUCAAACUUGGAGAUAGCUGGUUCUCCGCGAAAUCUAUUUAGGUAGAGCGUCGACCGAAUACCCCCGGGGGUAGAGCACUGGAUGGGCUAUGGGGACUCACCGUCUUACUGAUCCUAACCAAACUCCGAAUACCGGGGAGUACUAAUCGGCAGACACACGGCGGGUGCUAACGUCCGUCGUGGAGAGGGCAACAACCCUGACCACCAUCUAAGGUCCCUAAGUUAUGGCUAAGUGGGAAAGGAUGUGAGGAUCCCAAAACAACCAGGAUGUUGGCUUAGAAGCAGCCAUCAUUUAAAGAAAGCGUAACAGCUCACUGGUCUAAAUAAGGGUCUUUGCGCCGAAAAUGUACCGGGGCUCAAGCCAUACACCGAAGCUGUGGAUGCACGUAUGUGCGUGGUAGCGGAGCGUUCCGUAAGCCUGUGAAGGGACAGUCGUGAGACAUCCUGGAGGUAUCGGAAGUGAGAAUGCUGACAUGAGUAACGAUAAAGGGAGUGAGAGACUCCCUCGCCGAAAGUCCAAGGGUUCCUGCUUAAAGUUAAUCUGAGCAGGGUUAGCCGGCCCCUAAGGCGAGGCCGAAAGGCGUAGUCGAUGGGAACCACGUUAAUAUUCGUGGGCCUGCAGGUAGUGACGGAUCGCGUGUGUUGUGAGGUCUUAUUGGAUUGAUCUUGCAGCGAAGCGGUUCCAGGAAAUAGCUCCUGCAUAUAGACCGUACCCUAAACCGACACUGGUGGACUGGUA